CCUAGAUAUAGUGGAGAUACCCAACAAAUAGAGCCAACUACAUCAAACCCGGUCGUUACGCGAUCGAAACCGAAGUCCCAAUCAACCGAUGAAAUCAGACCUCGCCUGCGCUGUCAUCUCGUUCUCACCAAUCUCUUUGUUAUGCUGAUUAACACUUUUUCUUCGAACGAGCCAUGUACCGAGAGAUAUGGUGAUGAAGUCCACGACGAGCCAGGCGAGAAGGAUAUGUAUCAAAUAUGAUCUAAGAGGAAGGGGAGUCAGCAUUUGAAUUACAAGAAACAAUAAAGUAGGGGAAAGGCGAGACUUGCUGUUCGAACGAUACGGUCAGAGUUGUAAAAGGGCAAGGCGACACCAUACCGAAGGAAGAAAACCAUAAACUUGGAACCGAGCACGGUAAUUGGUGACUCGGUAGCGAGGCCAUAAUGGCCAUACCAAGAAAAGAGAGAACCACCAAAGAAAGAAAUUACCUGCAUAAAUAAAAUGCGCCCCAAACUGGACUUUGAAGGGUAAGUUGACCAUGCAGAAGAAGAAAGAGACAGGAAGGUAGAGACAGACAGGGGAGACAAGUCGAUAGAUGAUGUAAGCUCGAGUGGUGAGGAAGGGGGCGAUGACUUCGCGAACAGCGUUGUUGGUCAUAGUCAUGAUGAAGGAGAAGAUGGGCAUGAGCAUAAGCCCAACGAGGGUAAUAGCCUGAGCGACGGGAUGGUCGUAGGGCCUAAGGUUAUUCAUCGAAUACCAUACAGCGUUGGUGAUCGUCGAGGGCGCCUGAGCGACGAACCUGAAGGCGGUGACAUCGUUGGCGUUGUCUUGGAGGUAGGUAGCCGCGCCCUAAGUAGACUCAAAGCUUCUUGGACGUAAGGAACGAGAUAGGUGUUGAGACCAGUUUCCUGUCUGGCUUGCGCCUAGAAAACCUCGAUGACAGAAGAGCCACUCCAGCUAGAGUCACCAUUUCCCCUAGAAGAUAAAAGGGCAUUGAUGCCCACACUCCUUCCUCAACUACAUAAUGGGCGACUUCGGCAGCGGUGGGAAGUUCAGAGGAGUCUGUAGCAAAAAAGUUGAGGUUGAUUUGAGAUAGAAGACCUCGAGAGAAGGUCUGGCCGAUUUCAGCGUCAUCUCGAUCGAUGACUCUGACGGUCAAUUUGUCGGUAUAUUUGUUGAAUCUCCACACUACACUCUAGGCUGGAACACUUAACCACAUGACGAUGACGGUGAUUACUGUUGUAAGGUGUCUAUAGAUGCAUAAAGAAAAGAAAGAGACUAUCGUAGAAUCUAAAAGAAAGUAGUCACGCAACUCCGAUCCCACCACGCCACAAACGAUCUCUCCCAGAACUCCGUACCUCAGGCUCCCAUCUUCUCGCUCAUUCAACAAUUACAACAGUAAUGCCCGAAAUCUUGAAGGCGAUCUUCCUGGACAUAGCCAUCUCCGCGUCCCAAACUAUGUUUUUAUCAAUAAUUAGCAGGACAAACCAAGGAGAACUUGCUCACGGCUAUAUUUGAACUUCUCUAAUUUUGGCUUGCCCCCUUCAGGCUCAGCAUCCGCAGCUCCAGCGACAGGCAACUCGACGCCUGCCGCUUUAGCAUCUGGAGUGUCGUUCGCCUGGGGCACAUCGUUUACAUCCGAACCGUUCUCCUCGCAAGAGUAAUUCCUGAGAGUCUUGCCAGAUUGACUAGUUCUAGCUCGACUUCUCAUCUUCUCCUUAUUUCCAUACUCAUAAUUGUUGGGGGCAAAAGGUUCGGGGACUGAAGAACCGGGGAUACUAAGGUCCCUUCACCCGCGAUAGGUCGAGCGUUGGAGGUAGAUUGAGGACAUCAUAGACUUGCUGUUAGGGGUGUGCGCGAGAUAAUAUUGUGUUCUUUAAUGAGUGUGGCAGUACGGGAGACGGGCAUCGAUGAGGCGAGAGCUGUAGAUAUGAUGUUGUUUCUCAGUUUUGUUACUCAACCCAUUAGCUCAUAUAAUGUAUAUCAUUGGAAGUGUUG
This 1977-nucleotide small RNA is filed under the name Cryptococcus neoformans H99. RNAcentral's name for it is "Cryptococcus neoformans var. grubii H99 hypothetical RNA". The record is from RNAcentral. Lineage: Eukaryota; Fungi; Basidiomycota; Tremellomycetes; Tremellales; Cryptococcaceae.